RNAcentral lists this ribosomal RNA (446 nucleotides) under uncultured bacterium. RNAcentral's name for it is "partial 16S ribosomal RNA". It matches the Rfam family "Bacterial small subunit ribosomal RNA", at positions 338 to 795 of the family's 1533-position model. The record is from RNAcentral.
CCUACGGGAGGCAGCAGUCGAGAAUCAUUCACAAUGGGGGAAACCCUGAUGGUGCGACGCCGCGUGGGGGAAUGAAGGUCUUCGGAUUGUAAACCCCUGUCAUGUGGGAGCAAAUUAAAAAGAUAGUACCACAAGAGGAAGAGACGGCUAACUCUGUGCCAGCAGCCGCGGUAAUACAGAGGUCUCAAGCGUUGUUCGGAAUCACUGGGCGUAAGGCGUGCGUAGGCUGUUUCGUAAGUCGUGUGUGAAAGGCGCGGGCUCAACCCGCGGACGGCACAUGAUACUGAGAGACUAGAGUAAUGGAGGGGGAACCGGAAUUCUCGGUGUAGCAGUGAAAUGCGUAGAUAUCGAGAGGAACACUCGUGGCGAAGGCGGGUUCCUGGACAUUAACUGACGCUGAGGCACGAAGGCCAGGGGAGCGAAAGGGAUUAGAUACCCCAGUAGUC